AGUGAGCCUGGAUUCUCGAGCCUGUCGACACGCAACCCGCUGCCCUCGCUCUCUGCCUUCCCAGCCUUUGCCUGUGCAGCGGUCGCCCUAAACUCGCUUCCGGUUUCCUCUUCCCCAAUGCGAGCACCCCAAUAAUCAGGGCUCAUAGCCUUCGCACGGGCUGUGCCCUCUUUUGUAUUCCUAGCUAAAUCCCUCUGGCCCCUGUACACCCAAAAAGGCUUCCCCAAUACAUUUCCAGCCCCAAGAACAGUGACCGACUCUGGGCUUCCAUUCAAACAUCCGAAAAACAUUUACAGUGCACCUCGUGUGUACCAGGUGCUGUUCUAGGAGCUGGGAAUACAGCGGUGUACGAGACAUAAAAAUCUCCACUCUCCUGGAGUUCAUCUUUUUAAUGGAGGAAAUAGACACCAAACAUGUUGAAUGUUUGAAAGCGAUAAGUGCUUUGGAGAAAAUAACAGCAGGGAAAGGGGAUAGAGAUUUUGGAGGGCAAAUGAUUUUUGUUUUUUUGGCACGGUGGUCAAGGAAUGCAUCAGGAGACUUUUGAGCUAAAGGGCUGAAGGAAGUGAGGAG
This 570-nucleotide long non-coding RNA is filed under the name Homo sapiens (human). RNAcentral's name for it is "non-protein coding lnc-LEUTX-3:1". The record is from RNAcentral. Lineage: Eukaryota; Metazoa; Chordata; Mammalia; Primates; Hominidae.